Molecule: long non-coding RNA, 690 nt
Organism: Bombus terrestris (buff-tailed bumblebee)
Lineage: Eukaryota; Metazoa; Arthropoda; Insecta; Hymenoptera; Apidae
Exons: 2
Source: RefSeq, a predicted model, not a curated record
ACGAGCUGCUUUCACAAAUUAUUUCGACAAAAGCGAAGAGCGCGAAGCCGGGUGCGGCUACACGCCAGUGUGGACGGACCGCCGCUGGAGUACGGAACACGCGGAGCGCAGUUUUUGCGGGGACGGGUCCGUGCAGAAACGACCGUGACGUAUCGGCCAUUCCCGAGCGCUGCUAUCCUCGUUCCCGGCCGAGUAGCUCCCUUUUGAGCCUGCUUUCAGAUCGACGGAUCUGACGCAACAGAUCAUAAGCAAAUUUUAAGAUAUGUUGCACGUGGCACAAUUUAAAUACGCUUAUUUUUGUAGAAGCUUUUGAUACCAGGAUCCGUUUGAAACGCGUAGAAUUGGACUUUUCGAAGGUACCAAGAGUAUCGAGAAAAGUAUAUAAACUGUUGAUUAUGAAAAUACAAAUGCUUCAUGCUUAAUGCGCAAAAUAACGUACGAUAUAAUAUUAGAUAUAUUUUGUAUAACAAAAUAUAGAUUAUAACUUUUUACGUUAGACUAACAAAUAUGUCCCAUAGUAGUAAAUGGAGAAAUAAAAGAAGGAAAAUGGUAAUUAUUUCGUGUUUCAAAUAUUUUAUUGUAAAACACUGUAAAAAAAUGUAAAUGUAAAAAAUACACACGUUGUAAAAAGCUUUAUGUAUGUUUAAUAAUACAACCAUUAUCAAUUAUAAAGGAAUUUUAUAAAUUAAA